CAGGUCCCCUCUGAGAAUGGUGGGCUGGGUGGGGGCUUGGGAAUAUUUGCUGCUUGUAGUGAGUGGGUCAGCCCGACCUCAUCUCCCCUAGCUGGGUCAGGGGAGGAAGGGAGUCCUUCCUGGCUUGCAGAAAGGGGAUCUAGACUCAUGGAGGGAAAGUGCCUUUUCUAUCUUGUGUGAGAGAAUUGCGGAGGAGGAAAAGGGGAGAUUAGUGCUAGUGCUACUGAACAAACAUGAAUCCCCUGCUAACUAACGGGAAAAAAGCCCUGCAUUCACAUUCUUGCAGACAGAAACAGUAUGCUUAGACACAGACCCCAACCCAGGGGCUUUCCUUGUUACGUUCCAAUACUGCAAGUUGAUCAUUGAAGGUCUGUGUGGCUGCAGGAUCAUGGGCGAAAAAUAGAGGGCCGAAUUCUGAUGCUCUUACUUCUUGGACAGUCUUGUUGAAACAAACAGGGCUACUUGCACGACUGGAAGAGGAAAACAAGCUUUCCUGGGUUUUCACCUCCGAAUCAGCCUCUCAUCUUUGAAUGAACUAAUCAUUGAACUGAACUAGUUGAAUAAAUUGAAAUGAAGAAAAUAUUCUGUCUGCACCUGCAGAAGAGGCUACUGCUGUCAAAAAAUUGGUUUAGUAUGUCAACAAACUCUGCUUCCAGGGGUUUAGCUAGUUACUUCCACCAGCUCAGUGCUUUGGUAGC
Mauremys reevesii (Reeves's turtle) is the source of this 698-nucleotide long non-coding RNA. RefSeq lists it as uncharacterized. The record is from RefSeq and is a predicted model, not a curated record. NCBI's taxonomy places the organism in Eukaryota, Metazoa, Chordata, Testudines, Geoemydidae. The transcript has 3 exons.